UACGUAGGGUGCGAGCGUUAAUCGGAAUUACUGGGCGUAAAGCGUGCGCAGGCGGUUUUGUAAGCCAGAUGUGAAAUCCCCGGGCUUAACCUGGGAAUGGCAUUUGGGACUGCAAGGCUGGAGUGUGGCAGAGGAGACUGGAAUUCCUGGUGUAGCAGUGAAAUGCGUAGAUAUCAGGAGGAAUACCGAUGGCGAAGGCAGGUCUCUGGGCAUUAACUGACGCUGAGGAGCGAAAGCAUGGGGAGCGAACAGG
RNAcentral lists this ribosomal RNA (253 nucleotides) under uncultured bacterium. Its description in RNAcentral is "partial 16S ribosomal RNA". It matches the Rfam family "Bacterial small subunit ribosomal RNA", at positions 524 to 776 of the family's 1533-position model. The record is from RNAcentral.